GAGACAUUUCAUUACUGUUCUGAAUAUACAAGGCAAUGUUUCAAGACUGACAUUCAAUGGGAAAGACCAACAUAGUUAAGUUGGUAAUAGGUCAUAGGUAACCAAAUACAUAGAUAGUACUUCUAUAUCGUUCGUGCAGAAAAAAGAGUAUCCUUAGGGUACUAAUUAGAUAAAAUAUAUUAUCCCCCAUACUUUUAGUAGAAGGUUGCAUUUCAUAUCCGGUGAGACAAGAAAAGGCCCAAUAGACUGAUUUAGUCUUAAUAGUAUUAGUGUUGGAAGAGGGCAGUCCCAAAUGAAAAAAGCCAUUUCUCGAUCCCAAGAAUCAAGCUUUCAUCCUUUUCCGCUAUCGUCAAGACAAACCUUAAAAACAUACCAGUAACCAUAACUUAUCAGUCAUCCUAUUGUUGAUGAAUCAAAGCGAGAUCAGAUUGCUCUUGAUGACGAGGGUUGAAGAGGCUUUCUAUUGAUCCACCUACUUUCAACUGAACAGUAGUUAGUUAAGGAGUGCCGGGUUUGCUUGAUAAGGGAUUCUUGUUUUGACUGCUACAUUAAGGGCAACACAACUACCUCUCCUGCUUUCAAUUGCUAAGGAUUCCUCCUUCCCCAUUGUCCUCUCCUACCCGCCUUUCCCACAUCCAUCAAAAGGAUGCUCGCUUGUCAAGCUAUGUGCUUUCUUUCCUUUCAAAACUCUAUGUAUUCAUUUGCUUUCUUACCAGGCCUACCCAGGAAAGGGGUAUAGAUAGAAGGAGGGAUCCUCCGACCAUAGGUCUAUUGAAUCGAAAAAACACUAUUUUUUAUCCAGCAGCUGCUUUUAUUUUCUCUACGAAGAGAGUGGCUAGCUAGCUUCUUUGCCAACUUCGAGUGACUGUGACUACUCUUACUGGCCGUAACUCACAGAAGAGGCAGGAAGACUUUUUACUCAAAAUUGAUAAGCGAUCAAACCCUUAGUUGUAACCUGCACACCAAGAAUAGAUAUCUAUGUUAGCUAGCGGGGGCAGGCUUUCCCCUGGUAGUCCCGCAGCGUCCUCUGACCCGGGUUGGGUUAGGGGAAGAUCCGAGCGAUUGCCUUCGCGGAUCCAAACGUGCUCACAAGGCGCACAAUAAGAAUAAGACCAAUAGAGACUUCAUAAGGGACCAUUUGAGCUGCAGAUCGUAAUGCUCCUAGAAAGGCAUAUUUCGAAUAUAGAGGACGUUCCCAACAAUCCACGAGAAUAUCAUACCCAACUAUGAACCGUACGAGCACAUCCUCUGUCACCCCCACCGCGCUUACGGCUCUAUACCCCAACCCAACUUGCUCUGGCCCUUGGUCCUCCCGCAUCUCUUCCUCGGUAAGCGGACCGUGGAAGCUGGGGGGUAUCCGCUUGGGACUGAUAGAGAACAGCAUAUCUUUUUUGUCCCUCCUGACCCCUAAAAAAAAUAUAGUUGAAGUCCGGUCGACGUUGUUAUCCUUAUAUAUUCUGUCAAAGAAAGUCCCUCGCGUAAAUUGCUUUGAAUAGGUAAAUCAAUCAUUUGUCCUUGAGGAUCCGCCAUUAAUCCUCGCAUACCUACUAAUUGGUGUACCUGAGAUGCAUUUCCUCUAGCUCCUGAAAAAGACAUUAGAUAGACUGGAUUAGAAGGAUCUGUUAUCCGAAAAUUCGAAUUCAUUUCUUGUUUCAAAUAUUCACUUGUAGCAUACCAGAUUUCAACGGAUUGGCGUAAUUUUUCUACCGCGUGUACAGCCCCAUAAUAAUAGUGUUUUUCCAAAAUAAAACUCUGUUGUUCCGCAUCUUGGACUAACCAUCCCUUAGAGGGUAUUGUUAAAAGAUCCUCGAUUCCUAAUGAAAUCGAUGUAGUAGUGGCUUGAUGGAAGCCCAGCGUUUUUAUUUGAUCCAGUAUAUGGGAUGUAUAUCCCAUUCCGAAAUGAUCUAUUAAUCUGCUAAUAAGUCCGCCUUUUUCAUCUUCCGUAGGGGCCUUUAGUCUUUUGAUUAGAGUAGAGGUCGCGACAGAGCAGAGCGUACCGCCCUGCCAUAGUCGCGAGGAUCUUAAUAGUCGGUCGCGACUGUUGUCAUAGUCAACGACGGUUGAAACUUCCAGGAAAAAACUUCGAAUUGGGAGGGCGAUCCUCCCGGUGAGCUGACCGUACCCCAAACCGACACAGGUGAACAAGUAGAGUAUACUAGGGCGCGUCGAGAGAACCAUGUCGAAGGAACUCGGCGGGCUUUGUGUAAAUGGCUUCAUGUUGGUAUGGGGUAUUACCCUAUUUUACUCAAAAUACUGUGUCCAAAAGCCUGCUGCUUAUGGUACUGCUAGUCUGUUAUGUACAAGUAUCUUACCGACGAAAAAUGAGAGAUAACAUGCUUUUUUUCCAAAUUUUUUUUCUAAUGUGCAUAGAUCGUAAGGGGAUAACAGAGGAGAUGCUGAGGAAAGUGUUGGGGAUUGGAAUGGAGUUUUUCAAGUUGCCUAGGAUUUAGAGUCCAACGCGCAAAGCUAAAGAGGAUUUCAAGUCCCCCGCCCGCCAGAACCUAAAGAUUGCUUUAUUUAUAUACGAUUUAUUGAGUUAACUAAAAAGCUGGUUCAUUCCAUAGAGAUCAGACUUAGAAAAGGAAGCUCUGCUAAAAGCUAAAUCGCUAAUAAGUUCAAACAUCAAAGGUACCUGUCUACAUCUACCUACCCGAAGCUACUAAAACAUCAUCAACAACAACAUCGGAAACUAGAUGAAUAAUUGAAACAAUCGGGUUGAAUGGAAUUAUCUUGAGGCUAUUAUGCGCAAGCUUGGUUUCCACCAGGUCGAAAAGGUGAUGAAAUGUGUGACGUCGGUCUCUUUUUCGGUGCUUUUCAAUGGUGGCCAACUGGAGAAGUUGAAGCCAACGAGAGGCAUCCGUCAAGGUGACCCUAUCUCCCCAUAGUAAGCCAGCCAAUAGUACCCUAACUUAAGAAGUUCUCUUAGCUAGCGCAUGUCCAUUAAUGUGACCACCGCAUGCACCUGAAAACAAUAUUCAACUCCAUGCCUUCAAGAGCAUAAAUGGGUAACAGCCAGAAAUACAUGAAGAAUCACUUCUUUCGAGAAUGUGCCUGAGCACGUGUUUCAUUAAGAAGAUACAUGAAGAAUCACAUACCAGCAAAAAUGUCUUCACUUAAAUUUAUACCACAGGAAGCCUUGCUAAUGCCUCCUCUUGUAAUGUUAAAAAUCCUGUCGAACACAUCAGGAUGUCCAUAGUGAAAUCGUACCCUGCACAGAGAAUGAAGUAUGUCAGAUACACAGCAUUUAGACUACAAGUCUGAUGCCUUCUGCCCUCUCAGACAGUACUGCCACACUUUAUCCCGUCAACAUGCUUAAACUUGAAAAGCUUCAAUGCAGAAAAAGUUUCAAGCAAUGUAGAUUAUUGAUCUAAUCUGUAACACCUUAUUUACUUGUAAUCUCAUACACAUGUUCAUGUGCAUUUUCAAGGGCAGAAAGAAUAUCCUUAAAGGGUCAUCUCGCAAUCUUUUUCUAGGGGAUAGUCACCACAGAUGCUCAGCAGAUCCAACAUCGUAUUGCAACAUAUAAGACACUCAGUGUUUACAGUAUGAUAAUAAUGGAUAUUGUUUCAUUCCAAUAUGACAUAAGAAAAUGAUUCAUACUUACUUUAAUGGAUUAGCUAGGACCCUCUGUCCUAUUGUCACAAAGCUGGUCUCCUGGUUCGACAUAAACCAUGCAAGUGACGACACACUACAAUCCAGCAUUCUCAGAAAUUAGUUGCUGAUUUGGGAACUAAGGUGAAGAAAAUGCAAUGAUAACUGCAAAGUUUUCAACCUACCUUCCCGCCAAGCGGGAGAAGGGGCGAAGCGAGAACUCAGGAAUGAAUGAACCAAGAAGGGUUCAAGACAAAAGAAUUCUACUCAGGAUGUUGAUCUUCUGACCACGAAACUGAGCAAGAAGUCCAUCCGAUAGUGGGGGAGAUCAAAAAGUACUUUUUUAUGGGCUUGCCCUGGCGCACAACCACUCCAAUCCGCCUGGGUCUUCUCGAAUGUGUAGAACCUACUUUAAAACCCGCGUCCUCGCUGAGGAGUGCCUACGUACUUUCUUCAUAGAAGAAAGAUCAGGGUUGCUUUCGUAGUUCUUUCGAAAUGAUUUACGGUCAUUCUUCUUUAUUUUAUUGAAUACAUUACAGCUAGUACCCGGGAAAAGGAAUACAACUGAGCAAGAUAAUUGGAUUGAACCAGAUGCCGUAAAGAGUCAAAGUAAAAUCCAUUAGCGCCCAGAGGCAGAGCAAAGAGAUUCGGAGAUAGAAGAGAGUGGGACCACUUCGAAGUCAACGGGUUAAACAUAGUGCGAGUUAGACAGAUCCCACGGAGAGUCUAUCUCUUCACUCUAGAUUUUAACAUCUAAUGCAAUUCGUUGCACACACGAAGGGAAUAAUAUAAUGAAGAAGAGUGAGAAUAGUUGUGAAUCAAUGAGUUGAUCACUAAAAAGAAGAAAAGGGAAUAAUAUAAUGAAGAUAACUGUCACUUUACCGGGCCGGAAAAGUGACACCGUCACGUCUCAGAGUUGUAUGCCUGGAACAAGAAGGGUCGUCGUACAAUUUCGGCGAUUCAAAAAAAGAAGGAGGCGAGCUCCCUAUCCCUCUUUGGGGUGCAGACAGGUUCGUCGGGGGUUAUGCAAGCUUCAGAGGUGGGGGGUACGAUUGUGGAAGAUCGCGUGGAGGCAGGGGUUGGAGAUGUGAUGCAAGGAUGCGGGGAAUUGGGUGGAAGGACAGUCGUUAAUGUGGAGUCAGGUUUGACGGGCGUGAGGCAAGAAGUGGAGGGAAGUGGGAUCUAGAUUAGAAGAGAUAAAUACGAUAUUCCUGAUCUGAUACCCGCUGACGAUCCCUAGCCUAGCUUGGCAAUCCCUUGAAAAUGCAAUGCAUAGGCGUCCUCGGAUUGGCCCGGGGGAUCGAAUUGAUUAUAGAAACAUGAGUUUAAUUAAUCGAUUUAUUAGUAAACAAGGAAAAAUAUUAUCGAGACGAAUAAAUAGAUUAACCUUGAAACAACAACGAUUAAUUACUCUUGCUAUAAAACAGGCUCGUAUUUUAUCUUUCUUACCAUUUCGUAACUAUGAGAAUGAGAAACAAUUUCAAGCCCAGUCAAUUUCAAUAAUUACAGGUCCUAGACCCAGAAAAAAUAGACAUAUUCCUCCAUUAACACAAAAGUUCAAUUCCAAUCGAAACUUAAGAAACUCCAACCAGACUUUAAGAAACAACAAUUGGAACUUAAGUUCCGAUUGUUGAUGUUUUAUUCGAAAGGGCCAAGUUGCAUUGGAAUCGAGAAUGUUUCAUUCAUAAUUGCAUAAAAGGAGUAAAAAUAGUGGCUGGGGCGCGUCGAGGGUCAACCUUGAUAUCGAAUAACCUUUCGAGCCUGCCCCAAUGGAUCUCUAUCCUCCUUUGAAACCAAUAGAAGUUCACUGACCAUCCCUGUUAAACAUAACCCAAGGUAGGAUCGAGAGGAGAAGAAUAGGACUCUUGCUAGUAUCAUAACCGGGAGAAUGAAACCAUUAGAUUAGUGGAAAGAAGUUCGAAUGGGAAGGACAUGACCCCGGAUGGCAUACGUGGGCGGGCAGGGGGCCCCACUACUUCUUCAUUCAGGGGGGCUAGCCUCAUGACUUCCCACUGGGCGAGGGGUGCGAACCAAGUCAUGAGCGAUAGCGAAGCCGCCUAUAGGCGUCGAAGGAUGAAAGUCCGUUAGACCUCCAAGCCAUAGCAACCUCUUGGGGAAAUUACGAGCACCGCAUUGCAAAUGCGCGAGAUCAAAGAAAUCACAAACCAAGCAUAAGUGGAUAGCAACUUAUACUAUGGAGGCAGAGUCUCCUCCCCUCAUUUCUGGCUGCUUAUUCGUCAUCACAAAGCAACCCGGUACCUUUUCUUAUGCGAGCGACUGAGACGAGAGCUUUCAAUUAUGCCGUUUUGGUCAAAUCCUAGGGCUCUUUCUGAUUUGAUUAAAUACUUCUAUCAUUUAGAUAGAGAGUGAACAAGAAUAGUAGUCACAGCGAGGGAUGCACAUAAAUAAGAUCUGCACUGGUAUAAGUGAUAGGUUUUGGGUAAGCUCGCUCAUAUCGAAAGAAGAAUUCAAAGGAAAUGAAGCAUAAGCUGUCACCACUAGGAGUAGGACUUGGAUGUUCCGGAAUCCUCUUGCCGAGCUGGAACGACCCAUCUCCUAUUUCAGCUUCCAACGCCUACACGUUGAGUCUGAGUUACUCGAGAAAGACUUAUUCAUAGUGGAGAUAGUCAACCUCCACGGGGGCUCCCCGGCCGGGGAGGCAAAGGGGAUUGCUAUCGUCACCCUUUCUCCCGGUGUAUGUGAAAGAGAAAAAGUGACGAACUUUUUUUCUUUUCGGUCUGCGGGGUCCAAAGAACGAGAGUCAGCUUCCUUAAGUCCGUUCUUCCUCAGUAGCUCAGUGGUAGAGCGGUCGGCUGUUAACUGACUGGUCGUAGGUUCGAAUCCUACUUGGGGAGAUUUGAUUCAUUCAGAAUUCGAAUUGAUAGUUAUAGCUUUUCUGACUAGCGACCCCUGUUGUCCUUCUCUUUUUUUUUCUAAAGACGCAGCAGAAUCGUCAAACGGGAAAUCAAAAGUGGGAAGUUGAUUGUAGGAUUUCUAUUCCUCACUCUCGUUAGACGGAGAGUAAGCGACUUCUAUUAGCACCGGACCGUCGAGUCGAAUUGAUCGUGUCAUGUGCAACGUCCAUCAAUGGUGGUUCAUUAAUGUCCAUAGAUUUAGACUCCUUCCCCCUCCCUUAUAUGCAAAAGAUCGAGAGGGGCCCAAACCAAACCGAGAACGUAAACAGAAUUCGACUCACUCUCGUAUGGCUCGCCCUCGAGCCCUGGGCCCUAUCGAACAAAUAGAGGAAAGGACAGAAAGGGGAAAAAGUAAAGUCUAAGCGACAUAUGGCACGAAAAGGAAAUCCAAUUUCGGUAAGACUUGAUCUGAAUUGUAGUUCAGAUCCAAGUCGGUUUAGUGAGGGCGACCGCGAAAGUCACCGAAUGGGUUCGACGCCUGGUCCAGUUAGACAGGGAUUCGUUCUCCGGUAGGGCUAAGACUCCUUCGUUGUCGAAAAAUCACCCAAGCUGAUGUGCGCACUCACGGUGGAUGAAGUAGCACAUGUCCGCCUGAAUGUUGUGAAUGGAAGUAUCAUCGAGCUGUUUUUCAGACUUGGGGAAUUUUGGAAGCUGCAUCAGAUCAUGACAGAAUUAAGGAAAUUAAUUAUUCACAACAAUACAAGUUAGCGACUAAUUUAACAAGUAUUUACUUACCUCGUCGUAAUUCGCACAAUAUUUCCCAUUAACCCUUAGGAACUCACAACAUUAAUAUCCGCAUAAUACUAUUCCCACCGGUUGCUUGUGACACUUUCAACAUCAAAAUAAUUAUAAGGUAUAUUAGGUUAUUAAAUGGGAACACACAAGCAUUUAUGAAAAUUAAGUAGUACUGUUUGGCAUCCAUAUGUACUUAUCGGCCACUUAUUGCAGACGAAUAUGCGUUCUCUUGAGUUUUUGCGUUGUCCGCCUCGCUAGUAAUACCUUUUAAAUGCACUGUUUGCAGAUAUAAUUAAUUUACAUUCGUCAGAGAUUAAAACACGUCAUGCUAAUAUCUUACUUACAGAUCGUGAAUUCUUAGAAAUUCCUGAUAGGUGUUGCUAUCUUUGUCGAGGGAAUCCAAGACGAUGACUUCAUUGUACUUUAGAUAGAGAAGAAAGACUAUCCAAUGGUCACUGCAAACGAAAUUGUUAAUCGAGCCAUGAUUAUAUGUAUAUACUCUUAGUGCAUAUAUAUUACAACUUACUCAAAGGCAUAUGGGGCAUAAACACACUACUUGUCCUGCGUAGAUUCAAGCGCAAUAGCUACGUACGUAGCGACAUCGAGCACCUUUUCAUGAUGCCUUUGUGCUACGUAAGCUUUCCUCUAUUCGGGAGUCAUCGCCUUGAUGUGUUCUGGUAGCUUCUUCUCGUCUAGCGUGUAUGUGUGGUUCGGCUUACUUAUCCUGCACGGGUUUAGGUAGGCGACAGGCUUUUUCAUCGCUUCGGCUUCCACGUAAUUCAUCCUGCCAACAAUGGAUAUCAAAUGAGCUACGCAUAUAGGUGUAGUGAUCUAUUAACAUGUUCAAGUGUAGCACUUACAGACACCAGAUGGCAAUCAAAUUGGCGUCUAGCCUUUUCCUAUGAUAGAGGGAAUGCAUAUCGGAGAAAUGGACUUGGAGUAGACAAGGACCGCUCCAGAAGAUGUUCUCCCCCACGGCAUCUGUGAAUGAAUCGAUGCCUUUCAUGGUGCUUGCCCUAAUGUACCAAUCGUGCCACCUUGUUAGUUGCCACGGUCCUUCUCUUAGUUGCCAGUCGUAAAUGAAUGGUUUGCCAUUCUCAAACUAGUGUGGCACGUCUGGGGAAUUGAUAUAGUUGAGAUAGUCAUCAAAGGUCUGCUUGAACCCUUUUAAUUUUCAGAUAUCAAAUUCGGUAUUUACGAUAUCUUUGUCCCUUCCUCGGAAUGCUGUUACCAUAUAAUGUUUCUUGGACGCACUUUUUGCUUUGUGCUUGUGCGUCCUUACCAUCACUGGCACAUCGGCACCCUUAGGUUCCUCUGGUUGCGAUGGCUCUGGUUGCGAUUGCUCUGGUUGGUCGGGCAUUGGUUGCUCAGGCACCGCUUCUAUUUCACCCGCCACUAGCUUUGUAGGCUCUGCUUGUACAGGCUGUGAUGGUUGUGCGGGAGACAUUUCCCGUAUUGCUAGCUGUGAUUGUUUCUUUGCAAGCACCAAUUGUUCUUUUGCAUCCUUUUUAGUCCGAGCUGAUGCAACGGGAGGCUCUGGUCUAGGAGGUGAUGCAACUGGUGGCUCUGGUCCUAGAGGUGAUGCAACUGGUGGCUCUGGUCUAGGGGGUGAAGUAAUAGGACUAUCCCUCGGACUGGCUACGACUGGUGGACGCGACUGUGACACCGGUAUCCUUGGUGGACGAUCAAUUCCAUCCGUUGACCCUAGUUCAAUAUCAUUCUUGUGCCAUAGUAUGAAUUGGUCGACGGCAUCUCCAAGGUACACAAUCUGCUCAGUAGUUGGAAAGUCGAGCUCGUGUAUCCGGUAAGCCUCAAUGACCGUCCGGACCUCUACCUUGACGUAGUCAUCCGGAAUGUCUUGGCAAUGAAACCUGUGGCCUGGUAUGAACCUCCCAGUUGCAACGAGUAUUUUCUUUCCCGCCCUGCCGACCGGAAUCAAGAGCUUGCAUAGAGUAUCCUCCGUUACAUCAUCGAAAGGAUAGCUCAGCUCAGGCUCUAAAACAGCAGCACCGUGCAUCAUUUUCUAACUCCAAUAUAUAUUGCAUUCGUCACAAGCUGCUGCCCUAGCCUAAGAGUCAAUCUCUUCCUUGUAGCGAUCACGCUUCUUGUAGGUAUGAGCAUCCUGUUUGAAUCCAUCCUUCCAGCUAGUCUUUGAGGAAACUCCCCAUACACGGCCAGAGUGCUCCGGUUUGCCGAAGGCAUAGGUUAGCUCGUCCCGAUCUCUAUCUGGCACGAACGUCCCGGCCUAUUGCUGCGUGACGAUGUUCUUCAUCUUGACAGCUACCUCCCGGAGCUUCUGAUCCUUGAAUACUACAUCCCCCUUAGGGGUGAAGGCCGGUGUUCUUGCACGCACCCAGUUCCUGCUUCGUGGGUUGUGAUUUUUCAUAGGAACCGGUUUCCCAGCCUUCUCCAUCUCUUCAUCUUGUUUUGCCCAUUUCUUCACUGCUUACCGGUAACCGGUCGAUCCCAAAUGAUGUGGAUAUUCAUUCCUUCUUGCUAGCUCAGCCAUCUUCUGGCUCUUCUCCUUUUCUUCCGCCGAUGUCUUAAGGGCAACAAACUCAUCCCACUGGGCCUGUGUUAUCCUUCCGUAGUCCUUAAACGGCGUGAGUCCCUUCUGGACAUAUUUCUUAUUCAGGUCUGUUUUCUAGUUUCACCACAGCUUCCCCAUUGUCUUCAACGCAUAAUCCUUGGCUUUAUUGUCGUCUGUCCCCUCUGGAUAUUCAAACUUGCUUUGCAGCAACGUCCAACAGCUGUUCUUUCUACUCUCUGGAACUUUCUUUCAAUCCUUCCAUGUGAUCUCCAUGAUAUCCCAGACCACCGCCCCACAUUGGUUGCUAUACUUCGAACAUGAGUCUUCCGGUGACAGGGGUUCCCCUGUCUCACUCAUCCGCGUCAGCACGCUUACUUCCUUCAACAACAUGUUCUUCCCUCGCUCGCCCCUCCUUUUCUUAGGUUUGCUUGAAGCUGUUGUGUGCACGACAGUUGUAGCUUCAGCUUCAGGUUCAGUUGCGGCUUGGGCUUUCCUUUUGGAGCGACGUGGAGCAUUCAACUAUUGUUUGCAAGUCAAGUGACUUUAAUUAAAAUCCAUAGUUCGCAGUUAAUAUGAUUGGAACUAAACAAAUAUUAUAUGCUACGUACCACCGGUUCGGGGGGAACGUAGUCGGAGUCAACUUCAUUGUCGCUACUGCCCUUUCUCUUCUUUGUAGGAGAAGGAUGGGGGUCACUCGGCGAGUGAUACGAUCCACUGCUUGAUUCACUUGAGCUAGACGACGAAGAUUCCUCCGCGAUUACUUGCGUGCAAAUAUCUUCCUCCAUGACUAGCUGAGUUUCCUUGCCCUUGUCACCCGUGGGUUGCUCUUGGGUGGGUUUGUCCAUUGAUAUCGCUUGAAGGUGAAUUCAUGUUAGUUGCGAAAUGUAAUUAUUUUCUUAUUGUAAAUCCGAAAAGAAGGCAAAAUUUAGAUACUAAUUUUGUACUACAACUAUAAAUAUUGUUACCAAUCAAUGAGAUUGGUAACGACAUCAAUAUUACAAUCCACCAACGCUGACCAUUUCAAACUACCUAAUUAAGUUCCUUAAUUAUCAAUGAAUGACAUAAUACAAAAUGCAUGGAGAAUUAUGGUGUCUAGGUCGGUUCCGUCCAUGGAUUACACUGACCAAUCCACCAUAAUUCCCCAUGCAUUUUGUAUUCUGUGAUGGUUUGAUAACCUAGGAACUACAUUAAAUCUGCGGCCAAUCUAUCAAUUCUUCCAUUUGAACUAAAUUUCAAACCCUAAACCUAAUUAAGUUCCUUAAUUAUCAAAGAAUGAUAGAAUACAAAAUGCAUGGAGAAUUUUGGUGUCUAGGUUGGUUCCAUCCAUGGACUACACUGAACAAUCCACCAAAAUUCCCCAUGCAUUUUGUAUUCUGUGAUGGUUUGAUAACCUCGGAACUACAUUAAAUCUGCGACCAAUCUAUUAAUUAUUCCAUUUGAACUAAAUUUCAAACCCUAAACCUAAUUAAGUUCCUUAAUUAUCAAAGAAUGACAGAAUACAAAAUGCAUGGAGAAUUUUGGUGUCUAGGUCAGUUCCAUCCAUGGACUACACUGAUCAAUCCACCAAAAUUCCCCAUGCAUUUUGUAUUCUGUGAUGGUUUGAUAACCUCGGAACUACAUUUAAUCUGCGGCCAAUCUAUCAAUUCUUCCAAUUGAACUAAAUUUCAAACCCUAAACCUAAUUAAGUUCCUUAAUUAUCAAAGAAUUACAGAAUACAAAAUGCAUGGAGAAUUUUGGUGUCUAGGUCGGUUCUGUCCAUGGACUACACUGACCAAUCCACCAAAAUUCCCCAUGCAUUUUGUAUUCUGUGAUGGUUUGAUAACCUCGGAACUACAUUAAAUCUGUGGCCAAUCUAUCAAUUCUUCCAUUUGAACUAAAUUUCAAACCCUAAACCUAAUUAAGUUCCUUAAUUAUCAAAGAAUGAUAGAAUACAAAAUGCAUGGAGAAUUUUGGUGUCUAGGUCGGUUCCGUCCAUGGACUACACUGACCAAUCCACCAAAAUUCCCUAUGCAUUUUGUAUUCUGUAAUGGUUUGAUAACCUCGGAACUACAUUAAAUCUGUGGCCAAUCUAUCAAUUCAUCCAUUUGAACUAAAUUUCAAACCCUAAACCAUAUAUAUAGCCAUACAUCAUUUCAUUGCAAAACCAUAUAUAUAGCCAUACAUCACUGGAUUUCAGAAUUUAAAUCACACUUGCAGCAAUGUGAAUUUAUAUGGAAAAAAGAGCACGAUUAUAUAUAUGCAGUUUUAGUGCAUCAGUCAAACAAAACAGCUAAUAAAAUAUAUACAAAUUCAUCCAUCCAUCAUUGUCACGCAUUAUAAUACAUUAAAAUUCAUCGAUACGUCCAACAUGAUAUACAUAUAUAAUGAAUUAGCAUAUAACACUUUUCCCUACACCUUCAUUUCUCAUGUAUGGCUUCGGUGAUUCACCAAUUGAUUCUUCGACGCGUAAUAUCUUGUUUCGAAAAUCUGUGAAUAGUGUCAUGUUCUCGUAUUGAUUGUAUGCCUCGACAUCUUCGACAUCAUCAACUCCCAAAAUCCUUUGUUUUCCCGAAAUAACUAUGUCUUUCUUCAAAUGAGAUGGGUCUGUCACAUAGAAACUUGAGCGACCCGAUCGGCAAGCACCCAUGGGUCAUCCUUGUGGCCUACGUUGUCAAAGUCAACUAUUGUCAGCCCAAAGUUGUCCACAGACACGCCGGCUGGGUGUUUCACCCAUUGGCACCGAAACAGUGGAAUCUGCAUAUUUGGCCCGUAGUCUAGUUCGCAGAUUUCUUCUAUGAAUCCAUAGUAUGUGCUCUUUUGCCCAGUUGUGUCGAUUGCUUCUACUCGAACGCCACUGUUUUGGCAUGCACUCAUUUUGUCUUUCGCUUUUGUGUAAAACGUGUAUCCAUUUAGAUCAUAUGCUUGCCACGAGGUAUACACACUUGAUGGCCCAUCAGCCAGCAUUUUGAUUGUUCUUUUUUCCAUGGUAUGGCCAUCUGGUAGAUCGAGGUUCUUGAACCAUUCAGUAAAGUGAUGCUUGUGUUUCUUCAUGAUCCAUGCAUUAGAUCGCCCCACAUUUGUUGCUUGUAAUUCAUGCAGGUGUUGCUCUAUGUACGGCUCCACUAUUGCGAGUUGCUGCAGCACAGUGAAAUGAGCAUCUUUCACUUUUUUGUAGUCAUUGUCGUGGAUUAUUUUCUUCCCUUUUGUUCCUUUCCCAGAUAAUCUACCUUCAUGUCGAGAUACCGGUAAACCAAUUGCUUUCCCAUCUUUUUGGUAAUCAAUGCAACACUCAACGACCUCCUCGGUUGUGUAUCCCUCUAUCAUGGAUCCCUCUGGGUAGGCGCGGUUCCGUACGUAACCUUUUAGAAUGGACAUGUAUCGUUCGAAAGGCCACAUCUGAUGCAGGUACAGGGGCCCAAGUGCAAUUAUCUGAGGCACGAUAUGAACUAUGAGGUGUUGCAUCAUAUCCAAAAAUGAUGGAGGGAAACACAUCUCAAGCUCGCACACUGUCUGUAUAGUGAAAGCCUGGAGAGGACAUAACUCUUUAGGAUCAAUUACUUUCUGAGAUAUGGAAUUGAAGAAAUAACACAGCUUAGUGAUGACCAGCUUUACGUGAACUGGUUCGACUGCUCUAGUUGCAAUGGCAAGGAAUACUGUGAGCAUUACAUGACAGUUAUGAGAAUUGUAGCCUGAAAGCGACAGAUCCUUCAUCGACACUAGUCGCUUAAUGUUUGAGGAGAAGGCAGUAGGCACUCUCACCCCAUGUAGGGAUUUGCACAAUGCAAUUUUGUCCUCUCUUGUCAAGGUGUAGCAAGCAGGCGGAAGGUACUCUUUCCUUAUUUGCAUAUCCACGAGGUCCUUACGUGAUUUCAGCCUAUCCUUGGUCUUAGUUGGUAUGUCCAGUAUAGUCCCAAUGGUGCUAUCGAAGACAUUUUUCUCUAGGUGCAUGACAUCGAUAGAAUGGCGUAUGUCUAAAUCUUUCCAGUACGGAAGGUACUUAAAGAAAAUGGAGUGCUUCUUGAAUGGCACGCUAGGGCUUGUUGGCACUUCGGCAUUAUUUCUCUUCCGCUUAUUUGUUUCCUUCUUUUUUACCUUCCCAAAAACAACCUUCAGGUUUUUGGUCAUUCUGAACACUUUAUCACCCUUCCAUGGUUCUGGUGCAUCACCUUCCUCAACAGUACCAUCGAAAUAUUCUGCUUAGGAGCGGUACGAGUGAUUCUUUCUCAAGAAAUGCUAGUGCCGCAUGUACACUAGCUUCUUCGAUCCCUUAAGAUACCUGUACAUGGUACCAUCCACACAAAUAACGCAACCCGUCUUUCCCUUGAUUUGUCCCAAUAGGGAAAACAGUGUAGGCAAGUCGUUGACGGUGACAAUGAUAAUUACAUGUAGCGUGAAGUACUCCCACAGGAAUUCGUCCCAAACUCGGAUCCCGUGUUCCCACAAAUCGCGCAUAUCCUCCAACAAAGGCUCCAGAAACACAUCCAUGUCAUUGCCAGGUUGUCGUGGUCCCUGUACAAGGAUGGUCAACAAGAUAUACUUCCUUUUCGGACACAGCCACGUUGGGAGGUUGUUGUUGAGAUUAUAGACAUAUAAUGAUUUAAUCUAUUCCAUAAAUAAAUCAUGACAUUACAGAUGAAAACUAGCAUGAACGCAUCAUUAGAUCUAUACAUGUAAACUACACAGUAUAACAUGAACAGAUCAAAUAUGCGCAACAUAUUGAACACGUACCGAGGUGACGGAAAGAUCGGUUGCUUGGUCGAAACUUUUCGCAGGUGUCUACGAAGACACGAAACACGCGAGCGAAGAGGAAGGCGAGCCGUCGUGAACAAAACAGGGAGCAGUCGCGCGAAGCGCUUCCCAAAAACCUUAUUGCCGCCUUCUCCCGGUGCAGGACGUCGAAGGCAGAGGUUCCGGAGACAUGCUCUCCCGAUCGUCGGUGCACGCCGGCGAGCGGGAUGGAGUAGUCUACGAGCGACGGCGCAGUACAGAGUAGGAGGCAAACCCUAGAUUGAUUUCGCCAGUGUUGCGUGAAGACGGCGGGUCGGUUUAUAUAGAGAAGGGUCGCUUGAUCAGGGCGCCCGCACGAUCUCUACUGCGCAUAACCGAACCAGAUAAGUCGCGCGUAACUUAUCCGGACUCCACGCCGUUUGCACGCACCGGAUUUUUCGGAACGUUUCCAAAACAAAAACGAAUCCGAAUUUGCAGCAAAACAAAACUGCAAAAGGAGGCUGCAUCUGCGCAAGGGUGAGGAGCCAAUUUUUCGGACCAUUCGACGCGUACGUCGUGCACGCGCGCCGCCUGCCCGGCCCGGCCAGGCGAGGCGAGCGAGCGCGCGUGUGUUUCCCCUCUUCUCUCCACCACACAUGCUUCAAGUGGCUAGGAGGACAUCCUCCCUUUUAAGGAGGUCCCCCUCUCCUAGAAUAAGCAAGGUGGUACUAAACUCCACAUGCAUGCCAUCCCAUGAGGUGGGCUUUUGUGAUUUUCCAAAGAAUUAAUCUUCGAGUGGGCUAAGGCCCAUUCAUUAAUUCCAACAGUUGUACAUGGUUAGGAGUACUGGCCACGUGCUGUGUGAGCUGCUCAAGUCACCGAAUGGAUUCAUUCCAUCGGUGCUCAAUGCAAACCUUACGUUUCUUGGGUCCUCUGCAAACUUAUGAUACUUUCUGUCAAAUUCCUUCCACUGUCUUGCAUCUGCAGGAUGUCGAAUCAUCCCAUCCUUUUUUCGCUUUUCGUGAUGCCAGCGCAUCAAUUCGGCAUCCCUCGGGUUUGAGAACAAACGCUUCAAACGAUCUUUCACCGGAAGGUACUGUAUGACAAGCUGGGGAAUCUUCUUUUUGUUACUGUCUUUGCAUGGAUCAGACUCUUCUACAUCGUCAAGGGCAACAUCCAGACCCUCGGACUGGCUACGGCUUGUUUUGUAUCGACUACUCUUGCAUGUUGGGCAUCUGUCCAAAUCCUCGUACUCUUUACGGAAUAGGAUACAGUGGUUAACACACGCGUGUAUCUUUCGCACACCCAGUGACAAAGGGCAUAUAAGCUUCUUCGCUUCAUAUGUGCUUGUUGGCAGGGAGUUGGGUUGCGGAAAAAGUUUCUUCAACAAAACCAACAAGUCGUUAAAACUACUGUCGGACCAACCAUUUCUGGCCUUCAAUCUCAUAAGCUCAAGCACCGUCCACAACAAUGUGAAAUCCUUCUCACAGCCCUUUGCCUCAUCGUACAAAAGAUCAUUCGCUGCCUUUUUCAAUGCAUCAAAGUUAUCCAACCCACGAGCGGACCCAGCAACAACCUCAGGUUUAGCAUGACGCAACAUCUCUUCCAAAUCUGCAAAAUUACCAUUAUCUACGCUGACAUUACCAUCAUCGGCAUCAUCAACUGUAUUGUGCUGACCAUUGCCACCAACAACAACAUCAUCAUCAUCAACGGGUUCUACUGCAUACACUUCCUCUUCUUCUUCAGCUACUACAAUGACAUCCUCGUCCCAGCUCAACACUUCGUCGCGUACUGUAGCCUGGUUCGUAACCUGCUUGCUUGGGAUCUCUCCAUGAUGUGACCAGUUUGUGUAGCGUUCAACAAAUCCAUGCGUCACCAAGUGUUGCUCGAUUACAGAUGGAUCGUUCCAACUUUUCUGAUUUUUGCAGUGCACGCAUGGACAUCUAAUAUCUUUGGUCUUCUUAGAUGCAGCAUUCUUCUUAGCUGCUUUCAUGAAUAUGUCAACUCCUUCAAUGUACGACGCACGAUAUCUCUCUUUAUUCAUCCAUGCCCUGUCCGCCAUCUAUGCAUUAAUUAAUUAAUUGCGGAAAAAUAAUACAACUUUAGUUAGUUUAAAUAUUUUGAACAAGAUAAUUAAAGCUAGCCAAAAAUCUGCAUAUAUAAAACAUACAUCCCUCGGACGAAUUACCAAACUACCCUUCUUUCUCUUCUUCUCUUCCUAGCUAGCUCAUUCUUCUGCAGUUAACUAAUAUAUAAAUCUACUAAAAAUAAGCCUAUCGAAAACUAGAUAUAUAUAUAUGGAACAUCGAUCAUGCACAAUAUUUCUUGCAAAGUUUGCCAUUUUGAGCUCCAAAUAACAAAUAAAAAAUGUUUUUCUUCCUCCAUGUCAAGUAUUUUUUGCGAUGAAAAAUCUCAACAUACAACCAAUAAAAAUGAAAAAAAAAGUUGACAAAAAGAGUAGGACAAAGUAUAACUAACCUCUGGUACAAUAAAUCUUUCAAAAGAUUCAAGAUCAAAACCUUCCCCCCUAUGUAUGUGUUCUUAAGAGAGAGAAAAUCGUGCUUCUAAUGGUGCUCGAGGUUACUGUAGUUGGUUCAUAUAGUUCAGCGCAUUUUCCCUGGCGGUCGUCAUAUGUCGGUUCGUUUGAACCGCCAUUGAAAAUGAUUUGAGGUGGCGGAGGGUUAAGGACGCCGCCAGCGAAGAUGUAGGUAUCUUCGCUUGUGGUCCACGUCACCACACCGCCAGCGAAGAUAUGGUAUCUUCGCUGGCAUUAAGUUAAGAGGGCCGCUAGCGAAGACACCUACAUCUUCGCUGGCGGGCCGCAUCCCCUUACCGCCAGCAAAGAUACAAUACCUUCACUGGCAUGAGCUUAAGAGAGCCGCCAGAGAAGAUAUCCAAUCUUCGCUGGCGGCCUUCUUAAGUAGACCGCUAGCGAAGAUGUGUUUCCGCUGGCGGCCCUUGACCCCCACCCCCACGAUUUUCUGCGCUGGCGGUUUUCCCACAUGGCCGCCAUGAAAAAUAUUUUCCAAACGUCAUGAAAAAUCGAUUGUCUAGUAGUGGUCACCACCUACUUAGCUAUAUUCUCGUAAGAGAAUGAUCAACAAAUGAAACCCAAUUCAAAUUGAGGUUUCUUUUGUCAAAAACUUGCUCCAACACUAUGUUUAGAGAUGUAUCUGAAAAUUGGAAUCCCCUUCUCCUUCUUUCUUCUUUCUUGCUCUGUGCAAAUCGGGAGACACUCUCGCUCCCAAUUUCCACACGCCAAAAGAAUAGGGAGACAUGUUGAGAGAGAUCACACGCGGGGAUGGAAUGGGUGGAGCGAUUUUUGUUACCGUACGAUAGUUAGGGGUGUAUCCACUUUUUAUUAUUGGGAGUUAAUUUAAGAUAUUUGUUGGAGAUAAAAAUUAUUUACACCUUAAAAUUAAAUUAGAAAUUCCAAAAACAAAAUUUUAGAGAUAACUUUUUUUUAUCAAUUGGGCAUGUUCUAACAUAAUCCACUCAAUAUAUAAAAUCUCCUGUAAGUGUAGUAUUAUACUCCCUCCGUCCCAAAAUAUAAGGGCGGUUUUUAGCUAAUGGGAUAGGGAAAUGAAUUCCCACGCACCAAAAGACAUCUUUAAAUCCUACCCAUUCAUUUUUCCUCUUCCAUUUAAUCCCAACCCUUCAUUCAUUUCUCAAUCCCAAUCCCACCCCCAUUUCCCAUUAAUAAACACACCCAAGGUAUUUUGGAGGGAUGUAAAGGAUCAAAUCCCUUCAAAAUCUCUUAAAUUAUGGGACGGAUGGAGUACUACAGUAGGAGGUACUUGCUGCCUAAACAACAUUAGCACAAUCCCGACAGGUGGGCUCAAUCUAAUCAGACAAACAAAAUUAUGAAAUCAUCAGCUACUGUUGCAGUUUCUCACCAACUAUAAAUACUUGGGGCCCUUGAAUAGUAAGAAUGAAAAAAAAACGUAGGAAUAGGAAAAGACUGGAUUCUAACAGGAAUAGAAGUGUAAAACAGAUGAUUUCAAAACACAAGAAAAACAUAGAAAUGAUCGUUUGAUUGGACCGUAGGAAAAACACAAAAAUCGGAUAACAGAGAUAGCCUCAAAGGAAAUUUUCUAAGAGCUUUAAUCUCUUGCUAAGUUUUCUCCAAAAUCUCUACAGGAUUAUCUAUUUCAUAAAAAUUAUGUCAUUGUAACAAGAGGAAAAAAAUACUAACAAGUAGUAAGAGUUUAUUUCUCAUCUCCCUACUAACAAGCUAGUACUAAAUCCAUCUUGUCAAAUCAGAUAAAAACAAUCUGUUCAUCUCAUUUACAGUGUUUUCAUCU
RNAcentral lists this long non-coding RNA (18761 nucleotides) under Oryza sativa (Asian cultivated rice). RNAcentral's name for it is "long non-coding RNA (OSAT_LNC000659)". The stretch from base 6375 to 6446 matches the Rfam family "tRNA". The record is from RNAcentral. Lineage: Eukaryota; Viridiplantae; Streptophyta; Magnoliopsida; Poales; Poaceae.